This is a non-coding RNA of Podarcis lilfordi (Lilford's wall lizard), 1483 nucleotides long. The record is from the annotation of a GenBank genome assembly. NCBI's taxonomy places the organism in Eukaryota, Metazoa, Chordata, Lepidosauria, Squamata, Lacertidae.
UUCUGGCUUCUGAGAUUCAGAAUAUUUUUUUUCUUGUUUUCCUCCUCCAAAAACUAGGUGCGUCUUGUGGUCUGGUGCGUCUUAUAGAGCGAAGAAUAUGGUACACAACCGUGAUCCACCAUGGAUUCUGCCUGGAAGAAUCCUUGGCAUCAAGUGUCAGAAUGGGGAGAUGUAGAAGAGAAAUUGGGGGAGUAGAGUUGAGCUCACAGCAAGAAACUCCAGCUUCAACCACUGAGUUUAAGAACUGCCUGUAAAAGGUAAAGGUAAAGGUACCCCUGCCCGUACGGGCCAGUCUUGACAGACUCUAGGGUUGUGUGCUCAUCUCACUCUAUAGGCCGGGAGCCAGCGCUGUCCGCAGACACUUCCGGGUCACGUGGCCAGCGUGACAAGCUGCAUCUGGCGAGCCAGCGCAGCACACGGAACGCCGUUUACCUUCCCGCUGGAGUGGUACCUAUUUAUCUACUUGCACUUUGACGUGCUUUCGAACUGCUAGGUUGGCAGGCACUGGGACCGAACGACGGGAGCUCACCCCGCCACGGGGAUUCGAACCGCCGACCAUGCGAUCGGCCAGUCCUAGGCGCUGAGGUUUUACCCACAGCGCCACCCGCGUCCCCUGCCUGUAGACGGUCUUUUUAUUGUGCGUUCAUGACGUUUUGUUGGUGUCUAGGCAGUUACAUGCGAUCCCACUUUCAGUUCUGCUCGCGACAGCAGUUUUUUUCAGGAUGGAGACGCAUGCUUUGUUUCCAAUCCAUGCAUGUUCCCAGAGCUUCCAGCUGAAACCCUGUAACUUUUCAUGCGGCGAGUUCUCCAUGUGUGUUGCAUUGGUUGUGCCGUAGCCUAAAAAUGCCCCUCUGGGCAGCGAGACCAUUCGGAUAGCAUUGCAGAACAACUAUUCAAGUGGAAUGCUUUGUGUGUAUGGUCCAGGGGGAAGUUCACCACUAAUGCACUAUUCUUGGGUCAAUGGCAUGUUGCAGAAUUUGCCCGCAAAAACAACACCAGUGUAGAGGGGCUUCAAGAAUCGUCCAAAAGCAGCAGCCUAAAGAUUGAGAGGUACAAGCAAGGCAUGAUGGCCACAUCCCUCAGACUUUAUCCUCAGUCCCUGGUACUCAGAGCAGCCAUGUCUAAUACCAUUAUUGGACCUAGUCUCCCAGCGUAAAGGUAAAGGAACCCCUGAAAAUUAGGUCCAGUCGUGACCGACUCUGGGGUUGCGGCGCUCAUCUCGCUCUAUAGGCUGAGGGAGCCAGCAUUUGUCUGCAGACAGAUUCCGAGUCAUGUGGCCAGCAUGACUAAGCCGCUUCUGGCGGACCAGAGCAGCAAACGGAAACGCCGUUUACCUUCCCGCCAGAGUGGUACCUAUUUAUCUAUAUGCACUUUGAUGUGCUUUCGAACUGCUAGGUUAGCAGGAGCAGGGACCGAGCAACGGAAGCUCACCCCGUCAUGGGGAUUCGAACCGCCAACCUUCUGAUCGGCAAGCCCUAGGCUC